This 438-nucleotide ribosomal RNA is filed under the name uncultured bacterium. Its description in RNAcentral is "bacterial SSU rRNA". It matches the Rfam family "Bacterial small subunit ribosomal RNA", at positions 28 to 447 of the family's 1533-position model. The record is from RNAcentral.
GAUGAACGCUGGCGGCGUGCUUAACACAUGCAAGUCGAACGAAGCAUUUAAGACAGAUUACUUCGGUUUGAAGUCUUUUAUGACUGAGUGGCGGACGGGUGAGUAACGCGUGGGUAACCUGCCUCAUACAGGGGGAUAGCAGCUGGAAACGGCUGGUAAUACCGCAUAAGCGCACAGUACCACAUGGUACAGUGUGAAAAACUCCGGUGGUAUGAGAUGGACCCGCGUCUGAUUAGCUUGUUGGCGGGGUAACGGCCCACCAAGGCGACGAUCAGUAGCCGACCUGAGAGGGUGACCGGCCACACUGGAACUGAGACACGGUCCAGACUCCUACGGGAGGCAGCAGUGGGGAAUCUUCCGCAAUGGGCGAAAGCCUGACGGAGCAACGCCGCGUGAGUGAUGACGGCCUCGGUUGUAAAACUACUGUGAUCCGGGACG